GAGAGGAUGAUCAGCCACAUUGGGACUGAGACACGGCCCAAACUCCUACGGGAGGCAGCAGUGGGGAAUAUUGGACAAUGGGCGCAAGCCUGAUCCAGCCAUGCCGCGUGAGUGAUGAAGGCCCUAGGGUUGUAAAGCUCUUUUGUGCGGGAAGAUAAUGACGGUACCGCAAGAAUAAGCCCCGGCUAACUUCGUGCCAGCAGCCGCGGUAAUACGAAGGGGGCUAGCGUUGCUCGGAAUCACUGGGCGUAAAGGGUGCGUAGGCGGGUUCUUAAGUCAGAGGUGAAAUCCUGGAGCUCAACUCCAGAACUGCCUUUGAUACUGAGAGUCUUGAGUUCGGGAGAGGUGAGUGGAACUGCGAGUGUAGAGGUGAAAUUCGUAGAUAUUCGCAAGAACACCAGUGGCGAAGGCGGCUCACUGGCCCGAUACUGACGCUGAGGCACGAAAGCGUGGGGAGCAAACAGGAUUAGAUACCCUGGUAGUCCACGCCGUAUACUAUUAAUGCCAGCCGUUAGUGGGUUUACUCACUAGUGGCGCAACUAACGCUUUCAGCAUUCCGCCUGGGGAGUACGGUCCGCAAGAUUAAAACUUCAAGGAAUUGACGGGGGCCCGCCAAACCGGUGGAGCAUGUGGUUUAAUUCGACGCAACGCGCAGAACCUUACCAGUCCCUGGACAUCCGGUCGCGGUUUCCAGAGAUGGAAACCUUCCAGUUCCCGGCUGGACCGGA
Molecule: ribosomal RNA, 728 nt
Filed under: uncultured bacterium
Lineage: Bacteria
Description: bacterial SSU rRNA
Rfam family: Bacterial small subunit ribosomal RNA
Source: RNAcentral